RNAcentral lists this long non-coding RNA (777 nucleotides) under Homo sapiens (human). Its description in RNAcentral is "non-protein coding lnc-P2RY1-3:3". Lineage: Eukaryota; Metazoa; Chordata; Mammalia; Primates; Hominidae. The record is from RNAcentral.
UGAUGAUUCUCUAUCAUGUUCCUCGUACACUGCACCAGCACCACUGCUUCCCUUCCCAGUGAGAACCCGAUCAAGCUUUAUCAUGCAGCCCAGAAGGGUGGGGGAAAGAAAAAGAAUUAGGAGAAAAUGUUGUAAAAGUAAUGAGAUAAUAUGAGAAUGUGCUUUGGGAACUGCGAAUCUGGAGUCACUGGUCCAUGAGGAAUCUAGGAUAAGAAGAAGGAAGCUGUGAAGAAUGGUUGGCUAACAGUGCUGGCAAGGAAUUCAGAUCAACAUACCUCUCAAAAGAAUGGAAGUCUCUUAAACUCAGACAGAAUAAAGGAGGCACAGAGAAGUUAUACAAAUUGUCCUGGCACAAAAAACUGAUAAGACUUAAGCCCAGGAGUACUGGCCCAAGAAGAUAUUAGACUAUGGAAAUGAUGUUGGAGAAAAAGCAAAUUUGAGCGAUUUUCUUAUUUGAGUUCAAAAUGGGUCUUAAAGCAGUGGGGACAACUGGCAACAUAACAAUGCAUUUGGCCUGGGAACUGCUAACCAACUCUUAGUUCAAUGGCGGUUCAAGAAGUUUUGCAAAGGAGACAAUAGCCUUGAAGAUAAGGAGCAUAGUGGCCGGCCAUCAGAAGUUGACAACGACCAAUUGAGAGCAAUAUUUGAAGCUGAUCCUCUUACAACUACACGAGAAGUUGCCAAAGAACUCAGUGUCGACCUUCCUAUGGUUGUUCGGCAUUUGAAGCAAAUUGGAAAGGUGAGAAAGCUCCAUACAUGGGUGCUGCAUGAGCUGAG